ACAUACGACCACAGGGUGUGGAAAACAGGGCUUCCCGUCCGCUCAGCCGUACUUAAGCCACACGCCGGGAGGUUAGUAGUUGGGUGGGUGACC
Molecule: ribosomal RNA, 93 nt
Filed under: Aspergillus brasiliensis
Lineage: Eukaryota; Fungi; Ascomycota; Eurotiomycetes; Eurotiales; Aspergillaceae
Source: RNAcentral